Molecule: ribosomal RNA, 492 nt
Filed under: uncultured bacterium
Lineage: Bacteria
Description: partial 16S ribosomal RNA
Rfam family: Bacterial small subunit ribosomal RNA
Source: RNAcentral
AGUGAACGCUGGCGGUAGGCCUAACACAUGCAAGUCGAACGGCAGCACAGUAAGAGCUUGCUCUUACGGGUGGCGAGUGGCGGACGAGUGAGGAAUACAUCGGAAUCUACUUUUUCGUGGGGGAUAACGUAGGGAAACUUACGCUAAUACCGCAUACGACCUACGGGUGAAAGCAGGGGAUCUUCGGACCUUGCGCGAUUGAAUGAGCCGAUGUCGGAUUAGCUAGUUGGCGGGGUAAAGGCCCACCAAGGCGACGAUCCGUAGCUGGUCUGAGAGGAUGAUCAGCCAAACUGGAACUGAGACACGGUCCAGACUCCUACGGGAGGCAGCAGUGGGGAAUAUUGGACAAUGGGCGAAAGCCUGAUCCAGCCAUACCGCGUGGGUGAAGAAGGCCUUCGGGUUGUAAAGCCCUUUUGUUGGGAAAGAAAAGCAGCAGGUUAAUACCCCGCUGUUCUGACGGUACCCAAAGAAUAAGCACCGGCUAACUUCGUG